CCUACGGGAGGCAGCAGUGGGGAAUUUUCCGCAAUGGGCGAAAGCCUGGCGGAGCAAUACCGCGUGAGGGAGGAAGGCUCUUGGGUCGUAAACCUCAAAACUUAGGGAAGAAGCAAGUGACGGUACCUAAUGUAAGCAUCGGCUAACUCCGUGCCAGCAGCCGCGGU
This 167-nucleotide ribosomal RNA is filed under the name uncultured bacterium. RNAcentral's name for it is "partial 16S ribosomal RNA". It matches the Rfam family "Bacterial small subunit ribosomal RNA", at positions 338 to 521 of the family's 1533-position model. The record is from RNAcentral.